RNAcentral lists this long non-coding RNA (279 nucleotides) under Mytilus galloprovincialis (Mediterranean mussel). Lineage: Eukaryota; Metazoa; Mollusca; Bivalvia; Mytilida; Mytilidae. The record is from RNAcentral.
UGUAAAUUGAGCACGUGUUUAACAUGUAAAUUCAGAUAAUAGUUUAUUUUAAGGACAUCCAUGCGUAUUGUGGUCACCGGAUUUUUACGAGAUGGGUCACACUGAGGUCACCUUGCAUACGGAAAAUAUGUCGGGGGAAUUGCUUGCUGGAAGGAAGCAAUUCAAAUAAAGUAAACUUCUUCUAAAUAUGAAUAAAUUAAAGAAUUUUCUUCAGAAAAAAGUAUAUGUACAUAAGUUUUACUAUGAAAACUAUCCAUUGAGUUAUAAAAAACAUAUGCA